UAUUCUGUAUUCUGUAAUGGAAUACCUUUUAAAAGUAACCUUCCCAACACUAAGUCCAAGUGUAUAAAACCCCUGUGAUUUGUGUAUAUAGACUGUUCCACGGACCCCCUCUAACCACUGCUAAGAUGGUACAUUCCUCCCAUCCUUUGUUUGUGUUUGCGCUGGUUCACCGUGAUAGCGCUGGUGGAGCUGGGCUGUUGUACUGAACAUGUGUAGUGCGUGUGCGUGAAUGAUAAGUAAGUGCCUUGUAUUUGUUUGUUCUAUGGUUGUAACUUAUCAUAUACUUAGCUAUGUACAUUGGGUGAUGCUUAGUAGAGUUUUCCAGCUGUUCGUGUAGCCACGAGACAAUGUAUAUUCACGCUGAUUUGACCAAAAUGGCGCUACCCUUGUGAACUGAGCUGCCCAAAGUAAAGAUGGAGUAUAUCCCUGUGCAGCAGCCCAUUUGUGUCCACCAGGGGGUGGUGUUUAAUCAUUUCUGUUCAACCCUUUCUGUAUUAUUUAGACCAGUUUGGUUGACUUUAAUUGUCUGCUAAUUGUAAUUUCUGUUAUUUUUACAGAACCACACAUACAUAUACUCACACGAAUUCAUUUCUGGAGAUGUUUGGAUUAAAGGAACCCUAAUUAUCAUUGCUGUGGACCCUCUUUUUCAUCAUAUAAGUCACCUGUGCCGUCUGACCGAGGAUAGGAAAAUCCUGCUGUAAUUUGCCAGUCUAUUAAGCACACACAUGUCCAGUUCAGUGUUGGUUGUUAAGCAUAUCGUGGGAAUGCUUUACAACCAUUCAGAGAUGAACUUACACACUUGCUUUAAUUCUCUGGGAUAGCUUGCUCAGAGAUGUUCAGAGGUGGUUUUGUGAUAUUUAAUCGAUUGGAUCACAUUUUUAUUUCUCCCUGAUAUCCGAUCCAGUAACUUAGGUCAGGAUCAGACUGAUAGCAAUUGGGUCAGUCCAUUUCUAGGAGAUACCACCACGGUCUCGCAGAGAAUCACAUCAACCACUAUUCCUUAAAUAUUUACGUGAUGAAUUAUUAGUUGAAGGUGUGGGAAACGGGGGGAGACCAGGAAGGCAACUCAAUAGAAAUGAGCCUCCCAAAUCAUUUGUGCAAGAUGACCCCAAAACACUUGACAGUCACUCUGUGAGGUAAUGGCCUUUUUAAUUAUUUUGUUGUUAUUUUAUACUUUUUAAAAUUAAGCUAAAAAAGAGGUGCUCAAAUGAGGAAGAAGAAAAGAGAACAGAAUAUUUAGGACUGCCAGGACCUUCAGUUUAAGCACUGUUGUCUUUGAUUGUUGUUUAUGAUGCUGAACACAAGGCCCAGAAGAUGAAGUCAUACCGAGUAAUUUGUGAUUUUCUGAAGGUAUUUGUACACUGUUAUGACCUACAUGUUGAAAAUAUGUGCUUAUACUCUAAUGGGUAUGUAAUAUAUCUAGAAGCUGGUCCACUGAAAUAAGUCAGGUGCAGUGGUUAAUGUGUUUUUCUUGUUUGUUUCAAGCGUAUGUACUUGAUAUUUGACUUUCUUUUAGAAAUAUAAAUAUUCAGCUUUAGGCAUGAUAAUAAAGUGACUCGUCCUAUGACCUUCCCCAUGGUGCUAAUCCAAAGCUAGAAUGAUGCUAUUGAUUGAGAGAGAGAGAGAGAGAGAGAGACUGAGGCUCAAAGAUCAUUGUAACUGAUAAAUAACAUAAGUGGGGAUUCAAAAUUCAAUUCAUGAGUCAAAUAAUAUUUUUAUCAUAUCUUUAUUCUGUCUUUAUUUACUGAUUCCUUUGAUAUUACUCAAAGGUCACUAGGUGACGCAUGGCGCUAAGUAGAAAUGGAAACCCCCUUAGAUGCAAGUUCUGCAGUCAAGCUGUAAACAAGCUCAUGUCAUAUUCAUCUUUCUUUUAAAAUACUGGCAACAUACCCCUCAUAAAGGCACCAUCCAGAUCACUGUGUCUCAUGUACAAAACCCUUAUCAUCUCUCACAGAAAUCCUUAAAGCAGUCCAGUCAUAUUUACCUUUUAAAACUGAUGAUAACAUCAUAGCAUCAUUAAAGUGUCUCUGCUAAUGUUAGGAUAUUUUCAGUGGGCUAAUAUUAGUGCUGAAACAAUGGGGUCAAAUGUAAACGUAGCCAUAAUAGAGCUUUGCUCUGAAUAUUAACACCUACUCUUUAGGAGAAUGUCGGAGGCAUAAACCCGUAUGCACAUGUAAAUAUAACUCUGGUAACUCUGGCAACACUGUAGAUCACAACUGAUUUAGUUCAGUGCUAUGAAUCCAGAAUAAAAAAGUGAAUGUGAAAUGACUACAUGUUGUGUUGAAGGCAGCGCUAGUGUGACUUUCUGGUUAUAAAUGGAAUUACUGAGGUUUAACCCAUAUAACAGCAGAUUGGAAAUAUUUAGAGUUGUUUCCAGUCUGUUUUUGUGUCUGAUGCAAAACAUCACUGAGUUCAGUGUUUGUCUUUGUGUCAGACUGUGAGAACACAGCUCUGUUGUUGACUCUGGUGUCACACCAGUUUAAUAUCUGUACAACUACACGGUGCAAAAUAUUCAUUUAGUCAGUGCUUUGUUAUUGGUGAGGAAUUCCAAUGACUUAAAGCAACUUGAGCUUUCCUAUAGUGCUACAUGAAAAUUUAGUUAUAAGCUGUUAGUAUUACUGUGACUGACUAAGCCAUCACUGGUAUAAUGUAAGUAUAACAAAGGUGAAUGUUAAAAAGCUACAAAUAGAUUUGAAAACGUCAGUCUGUGUUCUCUUUCACCUACUACAGCAACAGCUCUGCUUCUCUAUUUACAAUCUUUACAUAGUUGUUUUACAAAGGUCAUACAGGAAGCAUCUAUUGGUUGGUCUCCGGCAAGACAUCAUGGAGGUCAGAGCUCUGUGCAUCAGACUGUUGAUAAUUGUGCUGAUCCUGCAGUGUGCACAUGAUCAGAAAGUUGAUGCAGUUUCUCUUCGUAUUGUUCCAAACAAAUCCCAGUUUUUUGAAUAUGAGUCAGCCAGCUUUUA
Haplochromis burtoni (Burton's mouthbrooder) is the source of this 2966-nucleotide long non-coding RNA. RefSeq lists it as uncharacterized. The transcript is spliced from 3 exons. NCBI's taxonomy places the organism in Eukaryota, Metazoa, Chordata, Actinopteri, Cichliformes, Cichlidae. The record is from RefSeq and is a predicted model, not a curated record.